GCAGCGAAGAAUUAGUUGCAAAGCGGCUUUCUUGCGGGCAACAUCGAGCGAUUCGAGGAACGGCAACCAAAACGAACCGGAGAAGAUUGCCACGCGAAAAGAAAAAUUGGUGCUAAGACCCCGCUAAAAGAAAAAAAAGAAAACAAAAAAGCAACCCCAUCAAAACCGCAAAACUGCAGAAGAAAAUUGCUCAAAAACACGCAUAAAAAGAUACAAAGUUCCCAUUUAAGUGCCGGCCACUUAACACCGUCGAAUUGAAUCGAAUCCGAGAUGCUCACGAGACAGCCCGACUACACCAUCUCGGAACUGGGCCAUCCCAUCCACCAGUGGCCGGAUUCGAGCAUGUGCGAGUCCCUCAAGAAGCUGGACUACAGAAAGAUGCCAAGUUCCCCGCCUUCACCGCAUCGCCUCCUGCCGCUGAGGGAAACCCUGGACGAUUGUUUCAAGCGGCUGACGAUGAGGAGCAGAGAAGAUUUCGAAGAGGAUCCCGUUUGCCAGCAGAAACAGCGAAAGAAUCAGUGGAACGAACAGCAGCGAAAGCGCAGCAAUCAAAAAUGUCGAGAUAAAGGCGAGUCAACGACGACAACGAUAGCGACGACCUGCGAUCUGAACAAUUUUUGAGAUUGGAACGAGUGGAGAAUAUAUACCUAUGGGGGAGCCAACCCAAGCGGACUGAUUAAAUGUGCUAAAAUAAAACACCUUUUGCCUAGAACAUUAACCACGCAGUUAGCAUACGAAAAUAUUCUCAAAUGGAAUUUCAACGGGCCCAUUAAAUUGUAAACAAAACGCGGAGAAGAGUAGUGAAUUCGACAGAAUAGAACAGAAUAGAACAGGCUGGCAGCCAAAAAUGGUGGGGAGACAUUGGGGCAACCUUGAUCAUGAGCACGUCGUCAGGGGGCCAACAAAUUAAGGCUCGGACGUGCUUUCUUUAAAUGGCUAAACGCGUGCGAUCCAAGUAGAUCUGAAUUCGCAGCGGAAGAAUCUGCGAUCAUCUAAUGCUGAUGGAAGUCUGAAGUUGUUUAUGGAGUGGAUGGCGAAAUGGAGGAACAUCUAGCGAGU
RNA transcript from Drosophila takahashii, 1059 nucleotides. RefSeq lists it as uncharacterized. Lineage: Eukaryota; Metazoa; Arthropoda; Insecta; Diptera; Drosophilidae. The record is from RefSeq and is a predicted model, not a curated record.